UUUUUGCGAAUACAGACUAACACGGCUGCUACUCUGAUACACUAGUAUUGUUAUCUGAGCUAGGUAGGUUAAAGCUAGCAUGGAUAUGCCUACCUACCCGCACUACAAUCAAACCUUCACCUGCAGUGUAGAUUUAAUCUGUUUGUGUCACCCAGUAAUUGUCUGUACGGGUAAUUUUUCCCAUAUAGUUAUAACUAUAGUGGUAUAAUUUUGUUAGUAAAAUUCCCCAUAUAAAUAAGCCCUCACAAAGGAGUUUCAGAGGAAACGAUAGCUUGUAGAAAUGUGAACUCUGUAAACAGAGGUGCUAAAACUUUUAUACUGCAAUCAUUUUAAAAGUAUGUCCUGGGCAUUGGUAACAAUCAGUAGCUGAGCAAAGGGGCAGUCCAAUGAUGUACAUUUAUGAGGGUCAGUGUAGAGUUAGGUUUGCAGAAGAUUAUAAUUUAGAGAUGCUCCCUCAUAAGGGACAAUAUUAUGAAUAUAGGAAUUUGGAGAUGUGCCCUGGAGGCAGGGGUUGAGAACACCACAUGGCUGUGUGCAGCAGUUCACCAGAGAGGUUCUCCAGUUUGUUUUAUUAAAGUUGUAUUCCUUUUUCAUUCACUGCUUGGUUAUUUAAUGAACCCCAGGAUCGUUACAUGGUGUCAGAAAUGCUGAAUGAGAAGGAAACUGCAGUCAUUUUGAAAUUAACUUCUGUAUUUUCAACUGAAAGCAGAGACAAAGGGAGGCACCAGAGAAGCACAUGGAGCACUAGCACAAAGGCUUUUGCAUGUAUUUGAAAUGCCCUUGGGAACCCAGCCUCCCUCUUUGUUAUCGCUGGCUGAACGGCUGUGCAGAAUUACAAAGCGGCCACGAAGAACUAAGGAGGACUUUCUGCGUGAGGUUUUGAUGCACUCCACCGCCGAGAAACAGGAAUUGAAGGAGUGGCAGGACAGCAAGAAGAGGGACCGAAAGGAGAACGCGGCGCGCCAGAAUGAAGCAAUGGAGCAACUCUUAAACAUUAUAGAGUGCCAAGUGGACACACUCCAGGUGAUCCUAGCACUGCAAACCGAGCAGCUCUGUGCACACCCUCCUCUGCAGCCACUGUCACAAAACUCUUUCCCACAUGCCCCCCCAGACACCGCUAACACACUCUUAUCAACCUCCUGCUUCCAGUCUGUAUCCACGGCAUUCCACUCCUAUCCCGUCACAGUCCAGCCCUACGGACUCCCAGUACCCACUGCACUCAACACCCGUCCCUCUGCAGUUUAGCCCUGUUGAAGUACAGCACCCGCUGCAUUGUACUCCAAAGGAGAAGGUUGGAUAUGAUCCCUGGAUAUAAACAAAUCUUUAGCCGUCCCGGGACCCCAUCUCCUCCUGGGACUUUCCCUUCCCCCAUCCCCCUCAGUGCUGAUGUGUUUUUUUGUUUGUCUCUCUCCUCUGGUUGUUGUUUUUUAAUAAAAUAAUUGUGUUGGUUUGAAA
Molecule: RNA transcript, 1455 nt
Organism: Dermochelys coriacea (leatherback sea turtle)
Lineage: Eukaryota; Metazoa; Chordata; Testudines; Dermochelyidae
Exons: 2
Source: RefSeq, a predicted model, not a curated record